Molecule: ribosomal RNA, 253 nt
Filed under: uncultured bacterium
Lineage: Bacteria
Description: partial 16S ribosomal RNA
Rfam family: Bacterial small subunit ribosomal RNA
Source: RNAcentral
UACGUAGGGGGCAAGCGUUGUCCGGAAUCAUUGGGCGUAAAGAGCGCGUAGGCGGCCCUGUAAGUCCGCUGUGAAAGUCAAGGGCUCAACCCUUGGAUGCCGGUGGAUACUGCAGGGCUAGAGUCCGGAAGAGGCGAGUGGAAUUCCUGGUGUAGCGGUGAAAUGCGCAGAUAUCAGGAAGAACACCCGUGGCGAAGGCGGCUCUCUGGGACGGUACUGACGCUGAGACGCGAAAGCGUGGGGAGCGAACAGG